Molecule: transfer RNA, 67 nt
Filed under: Crepidodera sp. BMNH 846613
Lineage: Eukaryota; Metazoa; Arthropoda; Insecta; Coleoptera; Chrysomelidae
Description: tRNA-Tyr
Source: RNAcentral
GAUAAAAUGGCUGAGAAUUAGGCAGUAAAUUGUAAAUUUACGGACGAAUAAAGUUAUUCUUUUAUCA